This 1509-nucleotide long non-coding RNA is filed under the name Homo sapiens (human). Its description in RNAcentral is "HSALNT0079078". The record is from RNAcentral. Lineage: Eukaryota; Metazoa; Chordata; Mammalia; Primates; Hominidae.
CAACAACCUAUUAUUUUCCUUUUCACCAACUUUUGGCUACUCCCUGAUCACAUUCAGGGUGCAAAAAUGCUAGGAGUGAACAGUUAACCAAUCCCUAUCCUGCACCAGCACAUAUGACAGAACCUAUUUGGAAUUCUUUUACAGGAUGCACUAGCUAAUGCAGAUAAGCUCUGUGGCAUCAAUUCACCCUCCAGAAGAAACCCAAAUAGCAACACAGGAUGAAGGUCAAGGAUUAACUGAUGCUAAUGGAAAUGUUCCCAGUGACCGUCCAGAUAAAAUAUUGUAUCCCAGCUGAUGAGGCCGGCACAUGAUGACAACACUACAAGCACCAAGAAAAUUGAUGCGAUGGCCUGUCUUAAGUUGGCUUCCUCUAUUGGUCUUUUAUCUGACAAGACACCUUUGGCAAAGUCUCAUCAAUAUGCUACUUUUCAUCUGCCUGACACUGAAAUCAAUGGACUGCAGAAGAAGCCUCUCGAUCAGCAUUGUCAGAAAUGAUCACCAUGCUGGACGGAGCAUGCUACCUGAUUUCUGUGAGCACUCAUUCAUUCCUGAAAGCUUUCUCUCAGCUGUUACAAGAGUGACCCUGCUUAGAGGUCAGAGAUAAAGAUGCUCUGCAGUCAGAGGAUGCACGCCUGACUGAACUCCCACAAAAGCAUGGCUGCAAAUCCCAGAGAAAGAAGAAAGAGAACUUACAUAAAGGAGGCUUUCUGGAGAACUCGCUGUAAGAGGGUCAAUGCGGAAAUAUGGAAUGUGCUUAGGAGUCCACUGAAGCAGUCCAGAGGCCACUACCAGCUGUUAGAACAUCCAUCUCCAUCAUGAUCUGAGCAACUGAAAGGAGAGGCUCACCUAAGCUGCCUGAUUGAAGAGAAGAAAUCAGGAGAAGGUUGAAGCAGCAGCCAGGUGGGAGAAAAACCCAUCUUAGCACUGCUGGCAAACCUGGAAACACAGUGAUCCACCAGGUUCAUCGCUGGGUCAUUGGGCAAUCCCCUCUGCCCUGGCACCUUUCACUGCUCUCAUUCAAUCAAUGAACAUGACCAAGUAUCUAUUACACGCAUCAGGUCCCAUGCUAAUUGGGCGGUGGGAAGAGGAUAAGAUAUAAAAGACCCAGUUCUAUAAACUGUCAGCUUUCUGAGAGCUCCAUAUUCCCAGUAUCUAGAACAGUAGAUGGCACACCUUAGCCUCAAGUCAGUAUUUGCUGUUUCAAUUAAGUAACCCUAGUUACUGCCUGGGUAGAAUGGCUUGAUGCCCUGCUUGAGACCAGGAGUUACAGAUUUUAGUUAGAAAACAAGGCUCUUCUCUGCUCUAUUGCCAAUCAGGGGCGAGUUUGUAUCCUCAGAGGGCAGCAGCUGCAUUCCUAGUAUCAUCUUUGCCUCAUCCGCCACUCUGGCACUGCACAAACUGAGCCCCGUGAAGCGCCGCGUUCCCUCUCUCCCUGAAGCGACGCCCCCUUCCUUCUCAGAGGGCCCCCUGAGCUGCGUCCCUCUGCCCCAGAGCUGUGCCUGGCGUCUG